This is a non-coding RNA of Triticum aestivum (bread wheat), 134 nucleotides long. NCBI's taxonomy places the organism in Eukaryota, Viridiplantae, Streptophyta, Magnoliopsida, Poales, Poaceae. The record is from Rfam.
AAAUUACUCCCUCCGUCCCAAAAUUCUUGUCUUAGAUUUGUCUAGAUACGGAUGUAUCAAGUCACAUUUUAGUAUUAGAUACAUCCAUAUCUAGACAAAUCUAAGACAAGAAAUACGGAUGUAUCAAGUUGAAA